CAGACUUUAGUUUAUUUAGAAUGGGGGUUUUGGGGACCUUUGGUCCUUUUGGAUGUUUGG
This 60-nucleotide transfer RNA is filed under the name Khawia sinensis. Its description in RNAcentral is "tRNA-Pro". Lineage: Eukaryota; Metazoa; Platyhelminthes; Cestoda; Caryophyllidea; Lytocestidae. The record is from RNAcentral.